ACCAAUACACACACACACACACACACACUAACACUCACACACACACACUAACACACACCAAUACACACACACACACACAUGCGCGAGCACGCACACACACACACACUAACACACACCAAUACACACACACACACACUAACACGCACCAAUACACACACACACACACACUAACACACACACACAUUUCUUUUAAACUGGUUUCUUCUUAAACUGGACGGUGUGUACUGCUCUCUGUACAGAUGUUGGAAAUAAGAUUAAGUUUUUUUGAGUUAUUGGAACUUUAAGGUGAAGUUAUUUUCCAUCCUCACUCAUCACAGGAGCCUUAUUUACAUAUAAUCUUCUUUCUUAUGCCACCAUGGCUGAUGAAAAUACAAGUCUGAACAGGAACUUGCAAAACCAGAAUUGUGUUCUAUCAAAGUUGAAAGUAGGUUGAACGUAACCGCUUCAGAAACCGUAUAAAGUAUUUUUACACUUUAUCAAUAAUACUCUGUUUACUGGUGUAAUAAAUGAGGGGUUGUUUGAUUUAAAAGUUUUUUUCUUUAUCUCAGUUGUCUUUUAGUUGACAAAUGAAUUUCUGUGAAGUUUCAUUUUCUCAUGGCUUCCUUGCACACUAUAUCUCUGUAUGGCUUUAUGUCUCCUCCUCUACUAAACAUUUGUAAAUUAGGGGAGGAGUGGUGAUGAAUGACACACAGCAGACUAUAUAAGAUAGAGAGAACACUUAUUAAAUAAGAAUAAGAAUUUCUUUACAUCCAUUCACCUGUCAACAUGUCUGAUGGGAAACGUAUCACAGAGUUUUUGAAGAACCGUGCUGGAAAUCUGGGGAUCUGCAGUCUUGUUCUGGUUAUUUUGGAGAAAGUGAUGGACAAUGAUUUUGUUUGUCCAUGCCAGCCUGCCUUUAAUGAAUGGAUAUGUGUGUGUUAUGGUGCAGUGCCUUUCAUCGCCUGCUUUUUUUUAACCUUGUCUUUCAUAGAUCUUAAGCCAGAGGAUAAAGUAAUGAACGGCAACUCAGUAUGCAGUAAAGUACUCUACUCUCUGCUCAUAUCCUUCAUCUGGCUCUUUCUCUUCUUUUUUGAUGGCCAAUACAUGGCAUGUGCAUGUUCACGCUGGGGUGGUGAGUACACUGAAACUGGAGCUUUAAAGUGGUGUAAACCGAAAGGAAAUGAAUCGGAGGUGUUUAAACGUCAGCAGGACACUCAGAGGUGUAUGACCUAUUCCCAGGUGAGUCUGAACUACACACAUCUUCAUCAGUAUAAGUUCUAAAAGUGUGUUUAGAGUCAGAAACUUUUCACACAGGGUCAGUAUUUGGUGUGUGUUGGGAAUUAAAUACAUUAUAGAGCCUUCACACUCAUUCCAAAACCCAUUACUAUGUAGUUGUUCCAUUUCACUGUUCUAAUCAGAUCCAGUCUUCUGGAAGGUUCUUCACUAGAUGUUGGAUUGUGUCUGUGGGGAUUAGUGAUCAUUCAGCUACCAAAGCAUCAGUGAGAUCAGACCCUGGUGUUGGUGAGGAGGUCUGGGGUUAAGUCAGUGUUCCUUCCCACUCCACCCAUAACAUACUGUGUCUUCCUGGACUUGUUUUUUGCCCAGGGACAUUGUCCUGCUGGAGCAGGGUUUGGAUUCCUCUACACAUGACAUUGUGGAUGACUGUGUGACUCAGAACUGGGUGUCAAUGGUUUGGAGAAGGAAUUUAUUUGAGUGUGAUGAUCAUCAUGCCUCAUCAUUUGGACAUACAAGGCAACUACAAAUAUUGUACAGACUAUUAACUUUAAUAAAAAGUAUCAUGAAUUAAAUUCAAAUCUUUAGACACAAAUCCUUUCCAAAGCCUGUCUGAAGUUUGGAGGCAGGAGCUUGUCAUGUCUGAAGAGCUUGUAUGAGUACACCAGACACUGGGGUUCCUCCCUGGUGUUGUGUCAGGUCUUUACUGCAGCUCUUGUUCUUGUGGACUCUUGUCUAUUUUUUUUCUGUUUCUUUUUUCCCUCACUUUAAUUCAGCUCAGGUGACAGACUUUUUUCAUCAUAUUCCACUUCUCUGCUUUAAAAAAAAAAGGUCCUGGGUUACUUUUAAUGCUUCAUGGUCCAUCUGCACUGUGAAGCUCCAUCCAGUAGGGUUCUGAAACAUGUGUCUGAAUGUGAGCAGAUACUAUCUCCCUGUACCCCACAGGACUCAUCCUGGUUUCCCUCAUCCUGCUUCUUUUAUCAGCAAGAGUGAUAUGCAAACACUGUUAAAGCAAAAGAACUGGUUCCACUAGCAGUUGUACACACCCACAGCAUCAGAUGAGAUGGUGCACCUCAGAUCAUCAUCAGUUCCUUCACCAUACUCUUCUCUUCCCUUCAUUUUGCACAAAUUCUUCAUCUUAUCUGUCCAGAACAUGUGGUUCCGGAACAGUAUCCAGUACAGGAUAUAUUAGACGUUGUUUGGUGAACAGAUGCUUGCAGUUUAUACGGCUAAUUCAUUUCCAAUUCAUAUAAUACUGAGGUCAUGAAGUAUUUACUUAUUUCACUAGUUUUUUUCUUUUUUUUUCAGUUUGCAGCUUUUGGCAUAGUAUUGGUGAUCACCUCCAUUAUAGGAAUAGCAUAUUGCUGCAGACUUCAUUGCUGUCAUGUUUGCUGUCAUGGUCACUGUAAUGGCUGCUUUGUUCCUGAGUGUGCACAUUGCCAUAAUGGUGGUCAUCAGAAUGGAGAAGUGCCAAUGACAAACCAGACCAACCGUGCAAGAGGAGCAGGAGAGGCUCAGUGAUCAGACGGUUGUGAGAUCAGAUCCCAGGACUGGAUGCUGUAAUAAAAAUGAAUCACAUGCUUAAUAUAACUGAAUGUUAAAAAUGUAAUGUUGUGAUUGACAUUUGUUGUGUUUUAGUUUGAGAAAACCUCCUAUAAUCUCCUUACUUUUAAAAUAUAAAAUAAAAUAAUUCAAACUGUUGAACUCCUCUCUUAAUUUGGCUAGCUCUGUUAAAUUGUGAUGAAAAAAAAUAGUUUUUGGCUCUUAAAUUAAUCCUCCUGCUGAAUUACACUCAGUAGAAAUCUUCAGUGUAAAAAUGAUUCUUACAAUUUCUGCCGACUCUCAGUGAUGUUCAGCAACUGAAAGUAAAAGCAAAUAAUCAAGCUGAUGUCACUGAUUCAUGUCACCAUGGCGAUUCAUGUCAUGAUUCAUGUCACCAUAGAGGUUUGGGAUAUUCAGUAUUUAUUUAUAUAAAUGAAUGUGAGCGUGGAUAACUGGAACUGGAAAAACUAGACCAGUGACUUGAUUAAGGAGUGUUCUAUCCCAGUAGAAAGUGAACUCUAAUAAUGGAGGUGUGGUCAGGUGAUGCUGUUAAAGCGGUAUUGUCAUGACAAAUGAGGAAUCUUUGUGAGGUUUCAUUUUCUAAUGGUUUCUUUGUAUGAGGCUUUGCGUCUCCUCCCCUACUGGUCAUUUCAUUCACAGCAUCCUCUGUUGUAUAUUAAGGAGUGAAUGAACGACACACAGCAGGGUGUAUUUGCCUCAGGUUUUCUCUGAAUGUCACCAUAUUGUUCACUUUGUGCAGACACACAGGGAAGGUGUGUACACUGAAUAAAAUAAAACUUCAUAAAAUCUGUAAUUCUUCAUCCUGUAGGAAAGACUUGGAUGUUUGAGUAACACUUUAUUUUCUCUGUGAUUUUACAGAUAUUCCACUUCCGGAGAAUCAGCAGGGACUCGGUGAUCAGAUGGCUGUGAAAUCAGAUCUCAGGACUGCAGGAAGAACAUGAACCUCCACUGCUCAGUGCUGGAGUGUCUGCAAUUUUUUUUCAAUAAAGAAAUAAAGUAAAAAGAUAUGUUCAGUAAAUUGCAUGUAAACUGUAAUAUAGAAUUUUGAGGUACAGUACAUCAGGCAGAUGUUCACAUUAUAAUUUCUUUAUACAUGAUCUUGUGCUUACUGUUUAUUUAGUAAUUCAGGAUUGUUGUUCUGGAUUUGUUGGGUCAGUCCACAGAAGGACAGAAUGAGGAUGUGCUGGAUAGCUGAUGAUGUUCAGUACUGGACUCACUGCAUGUGGUUUGACCCCUUAUGUCCAAACCUUUAGGUGGAUUCUGAACUAUACAAUGAGAAGGUAAAAUUGCACCAAAGUGUUUUAAUCAAAUUUAUUUAAUUAACUAAUUACAUGUUAUGUUAAUUACUAACAACAUGUACACCUUGUCAAAAACAGUGUGUUCUGUCAUACUGGCUGUGAGAGAUAUAUGUUGUAACAGCUUGCAUUGUCUAUACAAAGGGUACAGUUGUUAUAGCUAGGGUUCUAUGCAAAUUCAUGUAGUCUAAAUACAACAGUGUCUAAAUAUAGAACACUGAAAGCUAGCUUUUCCAGUUCUGAGGGUAAAUCUGGAGUAUAACUCUCUACUUAUAUAAUAUAUUAUUGAACUUACUUUAGGACAUGAACAGUAAUGUGAACUUGUCAGUAAAUACCUCCUUAUGUUUAAGUUGAGAGUGAGCAUAAGACCUAAUGGGCUGUGUCACAAAACAUCACAAAGCAGACGUGAAAGGUGUUGAAUUCUUGUAAGAGGAAAUCGUAUGUUACAGAGGAAGAUCGGGAUUUUUUUUCUUCUUUUUAAUUGGUUUCUUCUUAAACUGGACGGUGUGAUACUCACUGCUGCUCUUUGUUUAGAUGUUGGAAAUUAAGAUUUUUUCAGUUAUUGGAGGUGAAGUUAUUUUCCAUCCUCACCCACUACAGGAGCCUUAUUUACAUCUUAUUUACAUAUGAUCGUUCUUAUGUCACCAUGGCUGAUGAAAAAGGCUAAUACAUGUUGAAAGUAACCGCUUCAGAAACCUUAUAACGUAUUUUAACACUUUAUUAAUAAUACACUGUUUACUGGUGUAAUAAAUGAGGGGUGAUUUGAUGUUUACGUUUUCUCUUUAUCUCACUCAUCUUUUUGUUGACAAAUGAAUUUCAUUUUCAGUUUCAUUUUCUCGUGGCUCUUCCUUGUAUACAAUGUCUCUGUAUGGCUUUAUGUCUAAUUUGUAUAUUAGGGGACGAGUGAUGAUGAACGAUAUACAGCAGGGUGUAUGAGAUAGAGAGAGAGAGAGCACUUAUAUAAUAUAAUAAAGAGGCUUUCUUUACAUCCAUUCACCUGUCAACAUGUCUGAUGGGAAACCUAUCACAGAGUUUUUGAAGAACCGUGCUGGAAAUCUGGGGAUCUGCAGUGUUGUUCUGGUUAUUUUGGAGAAAGUGAUGGACAAUGAUUUUGUUUGUCCAUGCCAGCCUAGCUAUAAUAUCUGGAUAUGUGUGUGUUAUGGUGCAGUGCCUUUCAUCGCCUCCUUUUUUUUAACCUUGCGUUUCAUGGACCCAAAGCCAGAGAAUAAAGUAAUGAAAGGCAACUCAGUAUGCAGUAAAGUACUCUUCUCUCUGCUCAUAUCCUUCAUCUGGCUGUUCCUCUUCUUUUUCGAUGGUCAAUACGUGGCCUGUGCAUGUUCAUACUGGGGUGGUGAGUACACUGAAACUGGAGCUUUAAAGUGGUGUAAACUGAAAGGAAACGAAACAGAGGCAUUUGAACGCCAGCAUGAGACUGAGAGGUGUAUGACCUAUUCCCAGGUGAGUCUGAACUACACACAUCUUCAUCAGUAUAAGUUCCAAAAGUGUGUUCUUAUUAGGUAAAUAGUGUAAUAAAACUUUUCACACAGAGUCAGUAUUUGGCGUGUGUUGGGAAUUAAAUACACAUGAAUGUGGACACCUCGCCUUCACACUCAUGUGCUCUUGUUGAACAUCUCAUUCCAAAACCCAAUAAUAAGAGCAUUAGUGAGAUCAGACACUGGUGUUGGUGAGGAGGUGUGGGGUUAGCAGAUAAUAUCUCCCUGUACCCCACAGGACUCAUCCUGCUUCUUUUAUCAACAAGAAUAAUAUGCAAACAAUGUAAAUGCAAAAGAACUGGUUCCACUGGCAGCCGUACAGAGCCACACCAUACUGAGGUCAUGAAGUAUUUACUUAUUUCACUAGUUUUUUUCUUUUUUUUUCAGUUUGCAGCUUUUGGCAUAGUAUUGGUGAUCACCUCCAUUAUAGGAAUAGCAUAUUGCUGCAGACUUCAUUGCUGUCAUGUUUGCUGUCAUGGUCACUGUAAUGGCUGCUUUGUUCCUGAGUGUGCACAUUGCCAUAAUGGUGGUCAUCAGAAUGGAGAAGUGCCAAUGACAAACCAGACCAACCGUGCAAGAGGAGGAGAGGCUCAGUGAUCAGACGGUUGUGAGAUCAGAUCCCAGGACUGGAUGCUGUAAUAAAAAUGAAUCACAUGCUUAAUAUAACUGAAUGUUAAAAAUGUAAUGUUGUGAUUGACAUUUGUUGUGUUUUAGUUUGAGAAAACCUCCUAUAAUCUCCUUACUUUUAAAAUAUAAAAUAAAAUAAUUCAAACUG
Long non-coding RNA from Hemibagrus wyckioides, 6338 nucleotides. RefSeq lists it as uncharacterized. Lineage: Eukaryota; Metazoa; Chordata; Actinopteri; Siluriformes; Bagridae. The record is from RefSeq and is a predicted model, not a curated record. The transcript has 3 exons.